AUUGAACGCUGGCGGAAUGCUUUACACAUGCAAGUCGAACGGCAGCACGGACUUCGGUCUGGUGGCGAGUGGCGAACGGGUGAGUAAUGUAUCGGAACGUGCCCAGUCGUGGGGGAUAACGUAGUGAAAAUUACGCUAAUACCGCAUACGAACUAUGGAUGAAAGCGGGGGAUCGCAAGACAUCGCGCGAUUGGAGCGGCCGAUAUCAGAUUAGGUAGUUGGUGGGGUAAAGGCCCACCAAGCCAACGAUCUGUAGCUGGUCUGAGAGGACGACCAGCCACACUGGAACUGAGACACGGUCCAGACUCCUACGGGAGGCAGCAGUGGGGAAUUUUGGACAAUGGGCGAAAGCCUGAUCCAGCCAUUCCGCGUGCAGGAUGAAGGCCCUCGGGUUGUAAACUGCUUUUGUACAGAACGAAAAGGUUUCUACUAAUACUAGGAGCUCAUGACGGUACUGUAAGAAUAAGCACCGGCUAACUACGUGCCAGCAGCCGCAGUAA
Molecule: ribosomal RNA, 500 nt
Filed under: uncultured bacterium
Lineage: Bacteria
Description: partial 16S ribosomal RNA
Rfam family: Bacterial small subunit ribosomal RNA
Source: RNAcentral